RNAcentral lists this ribosomal RNA (311 nucleotides) under uncultured bacterium. Its description in RNAcentral is "bacterial SSU rRNA". It matches the Rfam family "Bacterial small subunit ribosomal RNA", at positions 28 to 334 of the family's 1533-position model. The record is from RNAcentral.
GAUGAACGCUAGCGGCAGGCCUAACACAUGCAAGUCGAGGGGUAACAGAGAGAAGCUUGCUUUUUUGCUGACGACCGGCGCACGGGUGCGUAACGCGUAUACAAUCUACCUUUUGCUGGGGGAUAGCCUUUGGAAACGAAGAUUAAUACCCCAUAGUAUAUAAGAUCCGCCUGGGUUUUAUAUUAAAGGUUACGGCAAAAGAUGAGUAUGCGUCCUAUUAGCUAGAUGGAGUGGUAACGGCACCCCAUGGCAACGAUAGGUAGGGGCCCUGAGAGGGGGAUCCCCCACACUGGUACUGAGACACGGACCAG